UGAAAAGUAUCUUCCUUGAUAUUGUUGGUGGGUGGAACAAAUUAAAGAUUUCAUUAUUGUACUAUAGCUUGCUAUCAUAUAAAGCAAGAAUUUAAAAAGAGAAAGAAGAUGAGGAAGAUGAGAGUUCUUGCUUUUGCUAUUUAAAGUUACCAUUGUGCUUAUAUUAUUUUUGUUGUUUUUAUAGGUCUAAGGGAGCAAAUUCUCUAUCGCUCUUCCCAGGAAUUUUUUUUCACAAUCGUUGGUAAAUGAUGCCAAAUUAGUGGCUGUCCUAUGUAAUUAAUAGGAUAAGAGUAUUUGACACCCUAUGACUGACCGUUUCUAGAGUAAGUGACAAAAAGCUUGGUGGUUGGUAUUCGAGACUCAAGUUCGAAUCCUAGUUGAUUCAUAUUUUCAGCUAAGUUUAUUUCUAAAUGAAAUAAACAAAACGGGUAAUGUGCUACCUAUCUCUCAGAAAAGAAAAAAAAAGAGAAGUAUUUGACACCC
RNAcentral lists this long non-coding RNA (483 nucleotides) under Ananas comosus (pineapple). RNAcentral's name for it is "long non-coding RNA (ACOM_LNC011136)". The record is from RNAcentral. Lineage: Eukaryota; Viridiplantae; Streptophyta; Magnoliopsida; Poales; Bromeliaceae.